Non-coding RNA from Pelobates cultripes (western spadefoot toad), 293 nucleotides. The record is from the annotation of a GenBank genome assembly. NCBI's taxonomy places the organism in Eukaryota, Metazoa, Chordata, Amphibia, Anura, Pelobatidae.
GAAGUAGCAGGCAUACUGUCUAGGGGACGACUGCUCCACUUUUGCACCCUGCUCUAGGAGGAGGAGAUGGAUGUGGAGUAGGAGGUUGAGGAGGCGGUGACCAUGGCGAAGACGAUGCAUUCGGAUGUCUGCCCUGUAAACUUUCGAUGUUACUUUCUGCGCCUACCAUGAUGAUCAUGGGUAAUGGGGAAUCAGGGUUCGAUUCCAGAGAGGGAGUCUGAGAAACAGCUACCACAUCCAAGAAAGGCAGCAGACGCGCAAAUUACCCACUCCCGACGCGGGGAGGUAGUGAC